CCCAUCCCAAAGGGUAAAGUUGUUAUAUUGAAGAGUUUAUUCACUAUAUGUUGGAUUGGUCCUCGAUCUUGAUUUAAGUCACACAGCUAGAGGUGAUAGAUUAAUAACUACCAUUAAUUGUCAUUCUUUAAGAGGUAUUUGAUGCUACGGUGUUGCGGAUUGUAUGACUUGGGCUAAGGUUUCCCACCUCCAACGUCAUUUCUGCCUCCUCUAUGUUGAGAGCCACAUGCUGUGAGAUAAAGAGCCAACAAUAUGGUGGAGAAAUAAGCAAGCAGAGACCAAGGGGACUUGGAAUGCACCGCACAGUGACCAGGGUCAGGCAGAUGCUGACUCACAGCAAGAAAACAGAGCAUGCCAUCUGCCAUGAGCUCAUUAUGAGGGAUGAGUGGAGUCUGGCACCUGCUCUUGGACCUCCAGAACUAUGCCAGAAGACCAUAUUUCUCUGAAAGAUGUUGAACUAGGACUUCAUACCCAGCUUUGAACAACUAACCUAAGCUAAUUCAAAUACUACUUUA
Long non-coding RNA from Heterocephalus glaber (naked mole-rat), 515 nucleotides. The record is from Ensembl. NCBI's taxonomy places the organism in Eukaryota, Metazoa, Chordata, Mammalia, Rodentia, Bathyergidae.